Molecule: ribosomal RNA, 253 nt
Filed under: uncultured bacterium
Lineage: Bacteria
Description: partial 16S ribosomal RNA
Rfam family: Bacterial small subunit ribosomal RNA
Source: RNAcentral
CACGUAGGGCGCAAGCGUUGUCCGGAAUUAUUGGGCGUAAAGAGCUCGUAGGCGGUCUGUUGCGUCCGCUGUGAAAACUCGGGGCUUAACCCCGAGCCUGCAGUGGAUACGGGCAGACUAGAGGUAGGUAGGGGAGAAUGGAAUUCCCGGUGUAGCGGUGGAAUGCGCAGAUAUCAGGAGGAACACCGGUGGCGAAGGCGGGUCUCUGGGCAGUAACUGACGCUGAGGAGCGAAAGCGUGGGGAGCGAACAGG